Molecule: ribosomal RNA, 669 nt
Filed under: Triticum aestivum (bread wheat)
Lineage: Eukaryota; Viridiplantae; Streptophyta; Magnoliopsida; Poales; Poaceae
Description: partial small subunit ribosomal RNA
Source: RNAcentral
AUGGUGCAUUUGUCACAUGGGUCCGAUGUAUUUCGAUGAAACCUACAUGGGAAUGGACAAUUCUCAGUCAAGUCUAUGUAUAGAGCAUUAAUCCAGUCUGAUGUGUCAGUUGAUAAUAACAAGAAGAUCUGGAAGAUGAAGAUACCUCUAAAGAAUAAAAUCUUGGCAUGGUAUCUUCAUCGCGGAGUCAUUCUUACUAAAGAUAACCUUAUUAAGAGGAAUUGGCAUGGAAGUCCGCAAUAUGUCUUUUCUCACCAUGAUAACACAAUAAAAAAUUUAUUCCACCAAUGCAAAUUGGCUCGUUCUAUAUGGCCAGUCGUCCAGAUAGCUUCUGGCUUGUAUCCUCCCUGUAGUGUUGCUAAUGUAUUUAGCAACUGGUUACAUGGGAUAGAUUACAGGUUUAGAACUAUUCUUAGGGUGGGAGCGCUUGCCGUUAUUUCGUCGUUUUGGCUAUGUAGAAAUGAUAAGGUGUUUAACGAUAAAAGUACUUCUCUAAUGCAAGUUAUCUACAGACGUAUCGGGACUCUUCGUUUAUGGUCCUCUCUACAACGUGCGGAGAAUCGAGACCUGUUUACGGAGGUGUGUACACGAUUGGAGCAUACGGCGAGGGAUACUUUUACCCAACAUGGGUGGCAGCAUGAUCUUAGGAUUGGCCCACCUCCGUUUUAG